GAACCCACCUCCACCCAGCGCGCUGCCCCGAUCCCAACUCCAUCUAGCGCGCCGCCGCCCCUAUCCCCUCCUCCCAGAGCGCCUCCGCCUUCCCCGACCCCGGCCGCCUCCCUCCACCACGCACCGCCGUCCUCCUUCCCUAACGCCGGCCGCCGCCCUCCACCACAUGCCGCCCUCCUCCUUCCCCGGCGCCGGCCGCCUCCCUCCACCACGCGCCGCCCUCCUCCUUCCCCUGCGCCGGCCACCUACCUCCAUCGUGCAGAUCCACUCCAUCCCCGUACUCCUCCUUCAUCCUGCUGGGAGAUCUCGUGCGCCGCCCUCUGGCAGCCGGUGAUGCUUCCCCGCCACCAUUCUGCCUCCUUCCCGAUGGGGCAACGAUGCCGCGCGUACAUGAAGUUCAUCGCCGCCACCUCAGGCCGUUCAAUGUCGACGUCUUGGAUGCGCCAUGCUCCAACGCCAUGGCUUGGGCUUCAGCAGCAAACAAUGGAGCCUACAGGAGGAGCCGCGGGGUUGAGGACGUCCUGUUCGAUAGUACAACUGCUUGCUCGGCCGCCGGUCACUCAAGGAGCUUGUCAUUGCCUACCGUGCAACAAUCAAGCGUGUGCUAAUUGUGACUGAGGUUGCACUGCCCAGCAAUACAGGCAGCAGUUUCACACUACAGGUAAAUGACAUUGCCUCUGAGAUAAUUAUCUUGCAAAUGAUCAGCAAGAAGAUUUACAGUUUAUUUAUGUGUUUAUUUAGCUCCACCCAAUACUGUAAAAAUGCAUGAGUCUAAUACCCUGUGGCCUAGCUGACCGAAUUAGCAUGCAAGCUUCUCCUUUCACCAUGAAAGAAAUGAUAGAUUCAACAGUUGCUAGGUAAAUCACAAAUCUAUUUACUAGAUGUAUUACUACCCAACAUUCAUGUCGUCAGAAAAGUUCAUGUAUUACUACCAUGGGAGUUCAAAGAAAGGUCAUCUAUAAAAUAGUAUAACUUGUGAGCUUCUUGCAGACUAAUGACGAGUUACUAGAUAAACUUAGGCACCACACCACAGUCCAUUCACUGCCGCAUCUGAGGCUGUUCAAUGAUGCAACAACGAGGUCUGGCCUCCCCCCUUCCUAUUUUCAUGAAGCAUAUUCUGCAAAAAUAUCAGACGCUCUCAACUGAAUAAAAAGUGUGUCGCACAAGUUCAGGUAUAACUGCUGCAGGAGUUCAAAAAUCUCAACAAACAAAGCUCAAACCAAAGUUCAAGAACUGUUUCCUUCAUAAACUAGUUUUCUUUUCGUUAAUUUGUUGUUCUAGACAUUACAGAUGUACAUUCUUCACCAAGUCGAGCAGCAAAGUUGUCGCACCAAAUCGAACUUGCUACUGCACCAUCUUCACCAAGUCGAACUUGCAGCCGCCAGGUACCAUAGUUGCUCAACUUGAUCUCUCUGGUAGCUCAUCCGGCAAGACUGCUCAAUGGUAUGACUUCUUUGCACAAAAUCAGAUCUGGUAGUUUGUCUGAGAGACACAUUUGUUCUGUAUCGUACUGCACCUUGUGCUCCCUUCAUCCCAUCCAUGCUUAGAUGAGAUUUUUCUGUGCAAUCAGACUUGGGCUAGGGUCAAAAAAUUGGUGAUCUUAGUUCUGAAUUGCUGGGCAUGCAACUCCUCGGUUGUUAAUUGCUAAGUGAUAGUCUGAACAAUCGAUAAGGGAGCCGCUACGCAUUACUAUUGAAACACAAGGUUGUUGCAUUUCUCAAAAAAAAAGUCUAAACCAAGGAGCCGCUGUGCACCAAUCCUCCCCGCCGCGCGGCGACCACCUCUGUCGCCCCGAGUUCCCAGCUGCAUGCAUUCAGGAGCAAGAAAAAAGAGAGGUUAAUUGUCCAUCCACACCGCCUCUCCUCCCAAGUCCACACUAGUUUUAUCACAAAAAGCAGAGGAUGUCUAUUUUAUUUCCUGAAACACAAAGUAGGUGUUCUCAGUUCAAUACGUGAGCUAUCUCAUGUUCUUGGAAAACAUAUAAAACAGUAUGGUGUUUGUGCAAAAAUUCAGACUGUUUUCUAAUUAUACAGCAGUUUACUAAAUGGUAGAAUUGUAGUUGUUCAGUAAAAAGGUUCACUACCCCAAAUGGGGGAUUUUCAAUCCGUUUUGUCUUUCUUUUCCAGCUGAAAGUUGUAGCAAAUGUGAACUGAAGCUGUUGUGGAGCAAAUUAGGAAUAGUUGCCUACUCUUUUGCCGCUGCUACCUUGCCACCUAGAUUAAUACUACUACUACUACUUAUCGUGUUGCUAAACCACAUGUUCUGGACAAUUUGUGGGAAAGUGUGGAGGCGCAAGUGGCUCCGCGACCGAGGAAGGCCCCGGUGCUUGCCAUGGCUGAAGACGGCCUCCAACCGCCGGGCCCAAAGCAGCCAGCCUUUGUUCGCAUGUGUGUCUCCUUCCUGCGUCACCUAGUAGUCCUACUUCUCCAUGACGACAAGGACGACGUCGCCAUGCGUGCAUGCUCCAACCUGUCCCCUGUCGCAGCCCCACCACUCGAUGCCGAUGCACUCCAACCCGAGGACCACCAUGAUGGAGGUCGCCUCACAGCAUAGCGACGAGUGUUUGUUGGUUUCUCUUUCAUUUACGGACAUCUUGGGCUUGCUGGGUGCAGAAUCAAGAAUCCCAAUCAUCAUCAGGGAUGUAAAAAGGAGAGAAGCAUGGGAAGAGGUACUAGUGGAAGAGGAAGAAGUAAUGUGAAAAAUGAGAUAAAUGUGACAAUAGCAAGUAGAAAAGCAUGAGAGGGAUUCAGAUUUUGUUUUCACAUUCUUGCUGUACACGUACCUUUGGUCUGUAGAUGCACCGUAAUGGAUCUAGGAAGUAUGAAUGGUUAAUACCUUAAUGGUGCACUAUGCAUCUUUGGCAGGUUUUUAUGCCUUUUUAAAUGGUUGUGGAGCAAUUUAAUGGUGCGCUAUGCACUGAAGUAUAUAUUGUUUAUAUGUUCUUGUA
Non-coding RNA from Triticum urartu, 2947 nucleotides. Lineage: Eukaryota; Viridiplantae; Streptophyta; Magnoliopsida; Poales; Poaceae. The record is from RefSeq and is a predicted model, not a curated record.